Molecule: ribosomal RNA, 269 nt
Filed under: uncultured prokaryote
Description: partial 16S ribosomal RNA
Rfam family: Bacterial small subunit ribosomal RNA
Source: RNAcentral
UACGUAGGUGGCGAGCGUUAUCCGGAAUUAUUGGGCGUAAAGAGCGCGCAGGUGGUUGAUUAAGUCUGAUGUGAAAGCCCACGGCUUAACCGUGGAGGGUCAUUGGAAACUGGUCAACUUGAGUGCAGAAGAGGGAAGUGGAAUUCCAUGUGUAGCGGUGAAAUGCGUAGAGAUAUGGUGGAACACCAGUGGCGAAGGCGGCUUCCUGGUCUGUAACUGUCACUGAGGCGCGAAAGCGUGGGGAGCAAACAGGAUUAGAUACCCCGGUA